Notothenia coriiceps (black rockcod) is the source of this 1468-nucleotide long non-coding RNA. RefSeq lists it as uncharacterized. Lineage: Eukaryota; Metazoa; Chordata; Actinopteri; Perciformes; Nototheniidae. The transcript is spliced from 2 exons. The record is from RefSeq and is a predicted model, not a curated record.
UUCCUAAUGUUCCUACUUCCUGUCCCAUGUGUCUCUGCAGUUCCUGGUGGAGGUCUCCACUCUGAUCUUCUUCGUGUUGACGGGCUAUAAGUUCAGACCAGCGUCCAACAACCCGUACCUGCAGCUGCCCCUGGACGAGGAGGACGUGGAGAUGGACGAAGUAGUGACUGAGUCCGGAGCUCUGGAGGGAAUCUCCAAAGUGAAGAAGACGUGUAACGGACAACGCCCGAAAGAGUCCACCUUGUGAGCUGGAAGCUGCCUCCUUGGAGGGGAGGGGGGGGGGGGGACUCAACAUGGACCAAGCCCCCUCCCCCCCCUCCCCUCCCCACACACCAGAUCCCCUGCUGAACUCUGGGAGAUGUUGCAGUGUCCUGUCCACUGUCUGGCUAUGCAAAAAGACAAACUUUGUUGGACACUCUCCAAUUCCUCGAAAGCACUCCACCCAGAAACAGUGGAGGGGGGGUGGGGUCUCUCCCCUCUCUCUCCCCAAAGAUCAUUAUCAUUUUAGAGACUUGCUUUCGGGUGUGUUUAUAUCGGUGUGUUUAUAUCGGCUAUUUAAACGGUACUGCUCCCGGUCGUACCUUCCUGUGCGAUGUGUGUGUGAACGUAAGACGCCGUGAAAACAGCUGUAAUGUUUUUUAACUUCUGGAGACGAAGCGAGUUGGCGUGUGAUACUCUCCGGAGGCUGCGUUCAGGCUCAGUUCAGUUUGAUGGCGGCUCAAUCACUUUAGAUUGAACUUUUAGGAAUGUUAAAAGGAAGCUUUGGAAAUUCUUCAACAGAGAGGAUGUAGUGUUUCUGGGUUGGUCCCUGAAGGCAGCAUCUCCUGGUCCCUGAAGGCAGCAUCUCCUGGUCCAAUGGGAUCAUCUGUGAGUCCAACAAGCGUUUGGUAUUCUUGGAACACAGAUCCCUAAAAGAUGAAAGCUUCCUUUCAACACGUUCUCCUCAGAGGUCGUUUAUAGUUUCACAUCAACACUACGCUUUGUGUGUUACUCUGUUUCCCAUGUGUUGAGAUAUUUGAAAGAGGUUUUAUAUUUCAAUAUAUUUCCUCAUUGCAUAUUGAAAUGUUAUAUUUCAGUAUUAUUUCCAGGAGAGCGAGGAGUCGGCCGCUGCUGUAAUUGAAUGCUUUAGUGGAUGUUCAUUUCUAAAUCUCUCAUUUAGGGAGGGGUCUUUUGGCGAGGAGAGACCGAACAGAUGAUCUCUGGCUUUUGGUUUUACUUUCGUGCUCUUGAUGUGAAGCUUAUUUUAUUAAUUAUUGAAGACUUAACAGAUGUAAAUAAGACUGUGGAGAGGAAGGCACUUUGAUGAAGAGGCUUUAGGACGCGUUCAGGUUCUGUUCUGAUGGUUUUGUAGGACGCAGGAGACGAGGAGGUGUUCAGGUGUGACUGUUCACCUGAGAGGAAACAGGAAGUCACAGAGGAAGCUGUGAUGUCUGCCUGAACUGUCACAAUAAAGCUGGUGUUCUGGAAA